This 65-nucleotide transfer RNA is filed under the name Pseudonocardiales bacterium. RNAcentral describes it as "tRNA-Ser". It matches the Rfam family "tRNA". From Rfam's summary of the family: Transfer RNA (tRNA) molecules are approximately 80 nucleotides in length. Their secondary structure includes four short double-helical elements and three loops (D, anti-codon, and T loops). Lineage: Bacteria; Bacillati; Actinomycetota; Actinomycetes; Pseudonocardiales. The record is from RNAcentral.
GCGCUCGUAGCUCAACGGAUAGNNGGAUCAAGAGGUUGGGGGUUCGAGUCCCUCCGAGCGCGCCA